This 253-nucleotide ribosomal RNA is filed under the name uncultured bacterium. Its description in RNAcentral is "partial 16S ribosomal RNA". It matches the Rfam family "Bacterial small subunit ribosomal RNA", at positions 524 to 776 of the family's 1533-position model. The record is from RNAcentral.
UACGGGGGGGGCAAGCGUUGUUCGGAAUUACUGGGCGUAAAGGGCUCGUAGGCGGCCAACUAAGUCAGACGUGAAAUCCCUCGGCUUAACCGGGGAACUGCGUCUGAUACUGGAUGGCUUGAGAUUGGGAGAGGGAUGCGGAAUUCCAGGUGUAGCGGUGAAAUUCGUAGAUAUCGGGAGGAACACCAGUGGCGAAGGCGGCGAUCUGGGAAGAUACUGACGCUGAGGUGCGAAAGCGUGGGGAGCAAACAGG